UCCACAGCUUUCUUGAACUGC
RNAcentral lists this non-coding RNA (21 nucleotides) under Arabidopsis thaliana (thale cress). The record is from RNAcentral. Lineage: Eukaryota; Viridiplantae; Streptophyta; Magnoliopsida; Brassicales; Brassicaceae.